CUUCCUAGGAGGAAAUAACUCUGCUUCUCAAUCACAGUCUUCUGACUUUUUGCAGCCACCCAGAACUGGCUGUUGGAAUUGAGCCUCUCCAUCUCAACCUCGUGUCCUUGAUCUUUUAGGGGACGUGCUCCAUUUGACCAACUCUACCACGUCCUCAGGCCUCCCAGCGGCUUAAAGGAGACUCUUCUCCACAAAGUGGGUGAAAUGGUGCUCCUUUUGAAGUGCCUGAAGAUGAGCAGGGCCCAGCCCAACAUUGUUGCAGAGUAGGAGAAUGGCAUCGGGAUAGCUAAAAUAAAACUGCAUCAGCAAGAAAACCUCCUGCCAUUUCAUCUUGCUCACACCUUCCAGGGAGACAGCAUUUCCUGACUUCGUUGAGGGUAAUUUUUCCUGUACCAGAAGCAUUGCCUCUGUUUGCAAAAGAGGCUCUCCAGGCAUCCAGGUUGUUCACUUGGGAUUGUUUCCUUGGCAUUUGGGACCCAGGUAUGGAAACGUGGGGCAUGUGCUGCUGGAAUUGUUGUCAAGGAAAUUUAAUCAUAGAAUCACAGAAUGGUUAGAGUUGGAAGGGACCUUAAAGAUCAUCCAGUUCCAACCCCCCUGCCCUGGGCAGGGACACCUCCCACCAGACCAGGUUGCUCCAAGCCCCCUCCAACCUGGCCUUGAACCCCUCCAGGGAUGGGGCAGCCACAGCUUCUCUGGGCAACCUGGGCCAGGCUCUCACCACCCUCACAGCAAAG
Molecule: long non-coding RNA, 734 nt
Filed under: Calidris pugnax (ruff)
Lineage: Eukaryota; Metazoa; Chordata; Aves; Charadriiformes; Scolopacidae
Description: lncRNA (ENSCPUG00000011774.1)
Source: RNAcentral